GGGGUCAUAGCUCAGUGGCACAGCAUCUGUUUUGCACACAGGCAGUCUCAGGUUCAAACCCUGACAACUCCA
Molecule: transfer RNA, 72 nt
Filed under: Sphaerodactylus townsendi
Lineage: Eukaryota; Metazoa; Chordata; Lepidosauria; Squamata; Sphaerodactylidae
Description: tRNA-Ala
Rfam family: tRNA
About the family: Transfer RNA (tRNA) molecules are approximately 80 nucleotides in length. Their secondary structure includes four short double-helical elements and three loops (D, anti-codon, and T loops).
Source: RNAcentral